This 468-nucleotide ribosomal RNA is filed under the name uncultured bacterium. RNAcentral describes it as "partial 16S ribosomal RNA". It matches the Rfam family "Bacterial small subunit ribosomal RNA", at positions 28 to 507 of the family's 1533-position model. The record is from RNAcentral.
GACGAACGCUGGCGGCGUGCUUAAUACAUGCAAGUCGAACGGAAAGGCGCGGCUUUUGUGGGUUUCUCGUUUGGCGAAGGGGUGUGUAACACGUGAGUAAACUGCCCUUGACUGUGGGAGAACACCAGGGAACUGGGGCGAUUACACGAGAGAAUCUCUUGCUGCGCGGGGUGGGUUGGUAAGUUUCGGUGUUGGGGGAUGGUCUCGCGGGUUAUGCGCUGGUUGGGCGGGUAGGGGCUUACCAGGGCUGUGACGGGUAGCCGGCGUGAGAGCGUGACCGGCCACAUUGGGACUGAGAUACGGACCAGAAUCCUACGGUCGGCAGCAGGGGGGAAUAUUGCACAAUGGGCGGACGCCUGAUGCAGCAACGCUGGGUUCGUGAUGACGGCUUUUGGGUUGUAAACCAAUUUCGAAUGUGACGAAGAGUGCGUGACGGUAAUGGGUAAAGAAGCACCGGCUAACUACGUG